CCUUAAAAUGCACAGCGCAUGUCGUGUUUCUGUCAAUGAUUGAACAGAGCAUCAGUUUUUAAUAUUUAUUUGUUUUCUAGGAUCGCAGCAUUAUAGAGAGGCUGCAGCCAAGCCUGACUGCAACAAAACAGGAGCUGAGAGAGGAAUCAUGUGAACAAGAAGCCGGUGUGAAGAGGGUGACAACGUCUCAAGAGAAACGGACUCUGCAACUUCCCGAGAGGCUAGAGCCGCCUCACGACCUGGACCCACAAAUGAGGACCAAAACUAGACCCAGGUCGUACUCCAGCACUUCUAUUGAGGAGGCGAUGAAGAAAGCAGAGGAGCCGCCGACCCCUCCGCCUCGACCCCAGAAGACCCACUCCAGAGCCUCGUCGCUGGACCUCAACAAGCUCUUCCAGCAGGGCGCUCCAGGUGUAAAAAGUGGAUGGUUGCCUCCUCCUCCAGCCCUCCCUCCUAGACCGACAACUUCACAGGU
This is a non-coding RNA of Plectropomus leopardus (leopard coralgrouper), 475 nucleotides long. Lineage: Eukaryota; Metazoa; Chordata; Actinopteri; Perciformes; Serranidae. The record is from RefSeq and is a predicted model, not a curated record.